GACAGGAUGACCGAGUGGUUAAGGUGCAGGCCUGCGUAAGUAGCCUUGAUAACACACCAUAACUCGAUUUCCAACUAACAACCCCAAUAGUAAGCCUGUGGGUUCGCCCGCCUGGGUUCGAAUCCCAGUUCUGUCG
Molecule: transfer RNA, 136 nt
Filed under: Paecilomyces variotii
Lineage: Eukaryota; Fungi; Ascomycota; Eurotiomycetes; Eurotiales; Thermoascaceae
Description: Byssochlamys spectabilis tRNA
Rfam family: tRNA
About the family: Transfer RNA (tRNA) molecules are approximately 80 nucleotides in length.
Source: Rfam by way of RNAcentral